Non-coding RNA from Misgurnus anguillicaudatus (oriental weatherfish), 1284 nucleotides. NCBI's taxonomy places the organism in Eukaryota, Metazoa, Chordata, Actinopteri, Cypriniformes, Cobitidae. The record is from RefSeq and is a predicted model, not a curated record.
GUUUCCGGUAAGUGAACUAAAUACGUUUUUUCUUCAAUCUAUCUUAAAACAUUGUUGAGGCAACUUUAUUUUAUGUUGAAGUCGAUGGUGUUUGUGUUCGAUGGUGAUGAUUUCACGUCAUUUGUGCAGCGGUGAGUCAUACCACAAAGACUUCUCCAGUCUGGCUAAAAGUUACAAAAGGUGAUCCUUCAGUAUGCCAUUUCUACUUCAGUGAGUGACCUGUCAAAGGAAAUAGAAAAACAAUGUAAUCUACAAGGACAUUUAAGGCUGCAGUUCAUGGAUUCUGACUUGGGCAAUUAGUUUUUAAAUCUCAUGUACACAUCUGAAAUUCAAGACAAAAGUACACUAAAGGUGGUAUUUCUGACAACACCAAGUGAUUGUGACAACUCGCCCCCACCACAACUGAACAGUUUUCAAAGGAGUACCUGCUCAUCACCAGCUCUUUCACUUUCAUCCUGUGACACAGUAGUUUUGUCAACCCCAUCUACUUCAUUAAGCUCUGACUGUGUUGCAAAAGCGUGUUUUGCCAAAUAUAUAACAAAACUGAGAAAAAUUGGCUGUACUGAAGUGAAAUUAAAUUUACUCAAGCCCAAACCAGCUGGAAUUUCCAGUGCUGCUUAUCAUAUAAAAAAAACAUGCAACGCUUUGGUUAACUACUGCCCUUACCAUCCACAAACGGAGACAUCCAAAACACUGGAAGUAGUCAGUGUAAUACUUCUGUCUGAAAUUAAAAAGAACAAUGAGAAAACAUUAUGAAUGCUGAUGGACAAGACCUUUUCUAUCAGGAGACAUGAGGUUGUCAAGGAAUCGCCUUCAAUAGCAGAUUUCAAAACUAGAUGGCCUGCUCUUUUCAGAAGGGAAGAGAUUUGUGCAGAGUUUAAAAGAAUCGCAACAGCCCCAUUGGUGUCUACAUACUUGGCGAAGAUGGAUCAAUAUUCUGCAAAGCUUAUAAGGAUCUAUGCAAAACGAGGAGUCGUCAAUUGACAGAGAAUUAAAAACCUGCUGGUUUCCACAACACAGACUGACAACAUUGAUCAGGCUCCGAUCUUUCUUUGUCUACCUGAAUGAAGACCUGACCAGUCUAAUUAAAGAGUAUUUGGAUACAGAUGCACCCAGUACCCAGGAGGCGAUCCAGAAGAUGGUGAUGUGAGUCCUUGUUGUAAAAAUGUAUGGUUCAGACAUCGAAGACAGCCCAGCAGAUGUUGGAGUGUUAUUGAAGGGAUUAAGAGUUCUUGGACCUCAACAACAUUGUGUAUGCGACGACCAUGCUGAUGGGACUGAUAU